CGGCGACGGUGCUGACGGCCAGCAGCGCCAGGACGGACGGCCCCGGCUCCGCCUGCCGUGCUUCAGUGGGCGUUUCGACAAUCCGGCGAUGGCCUUCUGCGUGUUCGACUUUUGCCAUUGNNNNNNNNNNNNGCGAACGUUUCGCGCAACAUAUGAAGGGCAACGUCCGAUGGCAGACGAUGUUCCUGAUCGGAAAGCCGCUAUCUCCGCGGCGGCUGUUCGCUCCGAUUUGCUCUCAAGCACAACUCUGG
Molecule: unclassified non-coding RNA, 251 nt
Filed under: Hevea brasiliensis (rubber tree)
Lineage: Eukaryota; Viridiplantae; Streptophyta; Magnoliopsida; Malpighiales; Euphorbiaceae
Source: RNAcentral